CAGAGCUCUGGUGGUUCCUGAUUAUCCAAGUCAAAUAUAUCCUUUGAAAUUCAAAGGAAAACCAUUCCCUUUUAAGCACCAGCUCUUGGAAUGGGGCUCAAAGGGCCAACCCCUGGGAUUUGCUGAAGUGGAUUCAGCCAACACAGUGAAGCCAUAAUGAGGAAGAGCAGAGCCGCUGUGGAGGAGACGGAGGGCUAAGGGUGGGCAGCUGGUGCUGAUCGACCAGACGACCUUUAAAGGAAGUUUGCAGGCUGCCUCCUGUGCCCGCAAGCCACCAGUAGCUGAGGCCAGAAUGAUGUCUGAGGGGAGAGACAGAAUCUCAUCAUCUUGGCUUAAAUUCAGAAUCCGUACCAGAUGCAACCAGCCACGAACUCAACGCAGUAUUCCACUGAAGAGUGUACUAGGGAGGUGGGUGCCGACUU
This 422-nucleotide long non-coding RNA is filed under the name Ursus americanus (American black bear). RNAcentral's name for it is "lncRNA (ENSUAMG00000014326.1)". The record is from RNAcentral. Lineage: Eukaryota; Metazoa; Chordata; Mammalia; Carnivora; Ursidae.